Molecule: transfer RNA, 72 nt
Filed under: Sus scrofa (pig)
Lineage: Eukaryota; Metazoa; Chordata; Mammalia; Artiodactyla; Suidae
Rfam family: tRNA
About the family: Transfer RNA (tRNA) molecules are approximately 80 nucleotides in length. Their secondary structure includes four short double-helical elements and three loops (D, anti-codon, and T loops). Further hydrogen bonds mediate the characteristic L-shaped molecular structure. tRNAs have two regions of fundamental functional importance: the anti-codon, which is responsible for specific mRNA codon recognition, and the 3' end, to which the tRNAs corresponding amino acid is attached (by aminoacyl-tRNA synthetases). tRNAs cope with the degeneracy of the genetic code in two manners: having more than one tRNA (with a specific anti-codon) for a particular amino acid; and 'wobble' base-pairing, i.e. permitting non-standard base-pairing at the 3rd anti-codon position.
Source: Rfam by way of RNAcentral
UCCCUGGUGGCCUAGCAGUUAGGAUUCAGUGCUUUCACCACUGUGACCAGGGUUAAAUUCCUGGCCUGGGAA